UGUGGUUGUCUUUUAAAGAUAAGUGCAUUUACAAAUAAUACAUCAAAAUACAUCAUGAAUGAUUAUAUCGCAAUAUACUAGUAACUAACUGAUUGAUUUCUUCAUAGUGGUGCAGAGUAACUGACGAAUUAAAUCAAAGUUUUGAGAGGUAAGUGUUAAAUUGCAUUAUAGUUAUACAGAGUAACUGAUGAAUGGAAUUAUAGUCAUGAGAAGAAACUGGUUAAUAACAGCAUAUAUAGUGAUCGGAUUAAUUAAUGAAUUUAAUCAAAAAUUUGAAAUGUACAUGCUAAAUUACAUUAUAGUUGUACAGAGUACCUGAGGAAUUACAUCAUAGUUUUGCAACGUAACUGGCGAAAAGCAUCAUAGUGGUGCAAAGUAACUGAUGAAAAACAUAAUAAUGUUGCAAAAUAGCUGAUGAAUUACAUCAUAUAUGUGCAGGGUAACUAAUGCAUUGCAUCAUAUAUUUGUGCAGUUAACUGUUGAACAACAUCAUAUUAGUGAAGAGUGACUUAUAAAUCAGAUCAUACUUGUGCGAAGUUCAAAUCGUGCUCUUCACCAUGGAGCACGAUUUGUCAAUAAACAACACUCUUAACCUUUGGAAGAAAGACUUACGAUUUAUUAACUCAACACAGAAAACAUGAACUACAUAUCAGUUGAUGCUUUAAUCAUUCAUAUGAAUAACAGGGAAUUAUUAAGUACAUCGUACUUUGGGAAUAAUAUAAGAAGUCCGAAAUAGCAGGGUUUUGACGAUGAAUUUAUCUACGAAAUUAUUAUGCGUGUGUCUGCUGAGUGUUCUUAUCGUGGAGAUCGCGGAAAGCCAGAGAAACAACUGUUGUCGUCGGUGUAGACGAAUGGGAUAUCUGUGUGUCAAAUUCGGAAGGGGAUGCAGGUGUCGGAAUCCGGGAAAUACUGGUCCUAUUCUGGGUAGCGUGCCGAUAAACGAUAUCGAAGACUUUCAGCCGAUUUUUCAAUCCGUUAACGAAAUUAUGGACAUCUGAGUCGGCUCAAUUGAAGGAAUACUCAUAUAAAAUAUGUACAAUCAUCUGACUUCAAAGACAUAACAAAAGUUGCAUAUAGUAUAAGCAUCCGGAUGUCCAAUGUCUGAACAUAGUUUUGAGGUUACUCGAUACUCUAUAGUCGUGCUAUGGAAGUGGAAAAAAGAAUGUGGUGUUUAUCAAAACGGUAUAGAAAAGCAAUUCGGAUUGUUAUGCUAGGCAUGUUUUCAAGAUGUGGUUAUAAACCAAAAUCUAUUUCACGUUUAGAACAUUUACUUAUAUUACUGACUAGUGCUACUUGUUCUGAUAACCAGAAGAUGGUACGAAAUGUAUAAUAUUAACUUUUGCUAUAAUUUUCAUGUGUCUGUCAGUCGUUAUUUCGGUUUUUAUGUAACUGCAUAUGUUCAGCAAUAUAUUUCAGUUUUGUGCAAAGUUACAAAACUCGCUUCUCAUAUUAAGAGUAAACGCCUGGAAAUGAUAUUGUCACCACCUAAACUAUAGUUAUCAUUAAAAAAUAACGACCGAGAAACGACCAAGAAACUAGAUCGACAGUGUGCGGCACUCAUCACUUCGACUUGGAGCGCUGUGAAAGCAAACAUUAUUAUGCAAAUGCCAUAGCAUCAUUUAUAUCUUACCAUUUUCGUCAAAAUUAGAAUAGCAUUAUAUGCUUAUAUAUUGCAAUUUCUGGCAUCCAUGAAUAAACCUUGUUUAUUGUU
Molecule: long non-coding RNA, 1711 nt
Organism: Mya arenaria
Lineage: Eukaryota; Metazoa; Mollusca; Bivalvia; Myida; Myidae
Exons: 2
Source: RefSeq, a predicted model, not a curated record